GGUAGAGCACUGUUUCGGCUAGGGGGCCAUCCCGGCUUACCAACCCGAUGCAAACUGCGAAUACCGGAGAAUGUUAUCACGGGAGACACACGGCGGGUGCUAAUGUCCGUCGUGAAGAGGGAAACAACCCAGACCGCCAGCUAAGGUCCCAAAGUCAUGGUUAAGUGGGAAACGAUGUGGGAAGGCCCAGACAGCCAGGAUGUUGGCUUAGAAGCAGCCAUCAUUUAAAGAAAGCGUAAUAGCUCACUGGUCGAGUCGGCCUGCGCGGAAGAUGUAACGGGGCUAAACCAUGCACCGAAGCUGCGGCAGCGACACCGUGUGUUGUUGGGUAGGGGAGCGUUCUGUAAGCCUGUGAAGGUGUGCUGUGAGGCAUGCUGGAGGUAUCAGAAGUGCGAAUGCUGACAUAAGUAACGAUAAAGCGGGUGAAAAGCCCGCUCGCCGGAAGACCAAGGGUUCCUGUCCAACGUUAAUCGGGGCAGGGUGAGUCGACCCCUAAGGCGAGGCCGAAAGGCGUAGUCGAUGGGAAACGGGUUAAUAUUCCCGUACUUGGUGUUACUGCGAAGGGGGGACGGAGAAGGCUAUGUUGGCCGGGCGACGGUUGUCCCGGUUUAAGCGUGUAGGUAUGUGUUCCAGGUAAAUCCGGUUCACUUUAACACUGAGGCGUGACGACGAGGCACUACGGUGCUGAAGCAACAAAUGCCCUGCUUCCAGGAAAAGCCUCUAAGCAUCAGGUAACAUCAAAUCGUACCCCAAACCGACACAGGUGGUCAGGUAGAGAAUACCAAGGCGCUUGAGAGAACUCGGGUGAAGGAACUAGGCAAAAUGGUGCCGUAACUUCGGGAGAAGGCACGCUGACACGUAGGUGAAGUGAUUUACUCACGGAGCUGAAGUCAGCCGAAGAUACCAGCUGGCUGCAACUGUUUAUUAAAAACACAGCACUGUGCAAACACGAAAGUGGACGUAUACGGUGUGACGCCUGCCCGGUGCCGGAAGGUUAAUUGAUGGGGUCAGCGCAAGCGAAGCUCCUGAUCGAAGCCCCGGUAAACGGCGGCCGUAACUAUAACGGUCCUAAGGUAGCGAAAUUCCUUGUCGGGUAAGUUCCGACCUGCACGAAUGGCGUAAUGAUGGCCAGGCUGUCUCCACCCGAGACUCAGUGAAAUUGAACUCGCUGUGAAGAUGCAGUGUACCCGCGGCAAGACGGAAAGACCCCGUGAACCUUUACUAUAGCUUGACACUGAACAUUGAGCCUUGAUGUGUAGGAUAGGUGGGAGGCUUUGAAGUGUGGACGCCAGUCUGCAUGGAGCCGACCUUGAAAUACCACCCUUUAAUGUUUGAUGUUCUAACGUGGACCCGUGAUCCGGGUUGCGGACAGUGUCUGGUGGGUAGUUUGACUGGGGCGGUCUCCUCCUAAAGAGUAACGGAGGAGCACGAAGGUUGGCUAAUCCUGGUCGGACAUCAGGAGGUUAGUGCAAUGGCAUAAGCCAGCUUGACUGCGAGCGUGACGGCGCGAGCAGGUGCGAAAGCAGGUCAUAGUGAUCCGGUGGUUCUGAAUGGAAGGGCCAUCGCUCAACGGAUAAAAGGUACUCCGGGGAUAACAGGCUGAUACCGCCCAAGAGUUCAUAUCGACGGCGGUGUUUGGCACCUCGAUGUCGGCUCAUCACAUCCUGGGGCUGAAGUAGGUCCCAAGGGUAUGGCUGUUCGCCAUUUAAAGUGGUACGCGAGCUGGGUUUAGAACGUCGUGAGACAGUUCGGUCCCUAUCUGCCGUGGGCGCUGGAGAACUGAGGGGGGCUGCUCCUAGUACGAGAGGACCGGAGUGGACGCAUCACUGGUGUUCGGGUUGUCAUGCCAAUGGCACUGCCCGGUAGCUAAAUGCGGAAGAGAUAAGUGCUGAAAGCAUCUAAGCACGAAACUUGCCCCGAGAUGAGUUCUCCCUGAGACUUUAGGUCUCCUGAAGGAACGUUGAAGACGACGACGUUGAUAGGCCGGGUGUGUAAGCGCAGCGAUGCGUUGAGCUAACCGGUACUAAUGAACCGUGAGGCUUAACCUU
RNAcentral lists this ribosomal RNA (2048 nucleotides) under Salmonella enterica subsp. enterica serovar Typhi. RNAcentral's name for it is "partial 23S ribosomal RNA". It matches the Rfam family "Bacterial large subunit ribosomal RNA", at positions 901 to 2925 of the family's 2925-position model. Lineage: Bacteria; Pseudomonadati; Pseudomonadota; Gammaproteobacteria; Enterobacterales; Enterobacteriaceae. The record is from RNAcentral.